Molecule: long non-coding RNA, 1037 nt
Filed under: Sipha flava (yellow sugarcane aphid)
Lineage: Eukaryota; Metazoa; Arthropoda; Insecta; Hemiptera; Aphididae
Description: uncharacterized LOC112684146, transcript variant X1
Source: RNAcentral
ACUAAAUUAUAUUUUACUUAUUAUUUGAUGUUCUUGAGAAUACGUUUCUUUUGAUAUUGUAAUUUAGAUUUUUAGUAAAUAAUUUAGUCCAAAUAUGUUUGAAAUAUUUAAAUUUAAAUCAAAAACAACUGAAGAGAUACAGACAGAUACUACUGAUCAACUUGAAGUAAUUGUCGACAACUCGGAUUUAGACUUGGGUGAUUUAGAGUCUGGUACUAAAAGACUAAAGCUUAAGGAAUUCCCUUUAACACAAUUUGGUACUCAAAAACGUGCCUUCAAUUCUGCAUAUUAUAAGAAUAAUAAUUGGCUCGAAUACAGUAUUAAUUAGGAUGCCAUAUUUUGUUGUACAUGUCGAAUAAUUGGAAACAAUCAAACUGAACCUACAUUCACAACCAUUGAGUUUAAAAAUUGAAAAAAGGAAUUUUAAGGAAGCCUGUGUUUUAUUUUCCAAGCACAAACCCAAGUUUUCUGAAAUAUUUACUAAAGACACAAAUUACACUAGUCACCAUAUACAGUAUGAAAUUAUUGAUAUAUGUGCAAAUAGUGUUAGAGAUUUAAUUACAGAAGAAGUUGGUACAGGAACAUUCAGUAUAUAUAAUGUGCGAUGAAGCACGUUGCUAUAAAAAUGAGCAAAUGUCUCUAUGCAUUCGAUAUGUAAAAGAUUUGAAUAUUCAAGAAAAGUUUCUUGGAUUUAAUGACUGUUUCGAUAAACAAGAUGUUCAAGCUUUAAGUGACCAAAUUUUAUAUUACUUCCAGACAUGUGAAUUAAGUGAAAAAGCUCAAAUAGUUUGACAGUCAUAUGAUGGUGUGAAUGUGAUGUCUGGAAAAUUUAAUGGAGUCCAAUCAAAAAUAAAGACCAAAUUUCCCCAUGCCACUUUUCCACACUGUAUGGCUCAUAGAAUCAAUAUAGUUGUUGUGGAUAUGUGUAAAGCUGUUAAAGAAAUCUCAAGCUUUUUCAAUAAUAUUGAGUUGGGGGCGAAUCCAGACCAAUAUAACGGGGGAGGAGGCGAUUAUGAUAUAGAUAUAUAUAUAUAUAU